CGGCUAGUAUAAGCAUUAUACCGUGAACUGCGAAUGGCUCAUUAAAUCAGUUAUCGUUUAUUUGAUAAUACCUUACUACUUGGAUAACCGUGGUAAUUCUAGAGCUAAUACAUGCUAAAAAUCCCGACUUCGGAAGGGAUGUGUUUAUUAGAUAAAAAACCAAUGCCCUUCGGGGCUUCUUGGUGAUUCAUGAUAACUUUACGGAUCGCAUAGCCUUGCGCUGGCGACGGUUCAUUCAAAUUUCUGCCCUAUCAACUUUCGAUGGUAAGGUAUUGGCUUACCAUGGUUUCAACGGGUAACGGGGAAUUAGGGUUCGAUUCCGGAGAGGGAGCCUGAGAAACGGCUACCACAUCCAAGGAAGGCAGCAGGCGCGCAAAUUACCCAAUCCCGACACGGGGAGGUAGUGACAAUAAAUACUGAUACAGGGCUCUUUUGGGUCUUGUAAUUGGAAUGAGUACAAUUUAAACCUCUUAACGAGGAACAAUUGGAGGGCAAGUCUGGUGCCAGCAGCCGCGGUAAUUCCAGCUCCAAUAGCGUAUAUUAAAGUUGUUGCAGUUAAAAAGCUCGUAGUUGAAACUUGGGCCUGGCUGGCGGGUCCGCCUCACCGCGUGCACUCGUCCGGCCGGGCCUUCCUUCUGAAGAACCUCAUGCCCUUCACUGGGCGUGUUGGGGAAUCAGGACUUUUACUUUGAAAAAAUUAGAGUGUUCAAAGCAGGCCUUUGCUCGAAUACGUUAGCAUGGAAUAAUAAAAUAGGGCGUGCGUUUCUAUUUUGUUGGUUUCUAGAGACGCCGCAAUGAUUAACAGGAACAGUCGGGGGCAUCAGUAUUCAGUUGUCAGAGGUGAAAUUCUUGGAUUUACUGAAGACUAACUACUGCGAAAGCAUUUGCCAAGGAUGUUUUCAUUAAUCAGUGAACGAAAGUCAGGGGAUCGAAGACGAUCAGAUACCGUCGUAGUCUUUGACCGUAAACUAUGCCGACUAGGGAUCGGGGCGAUGGUUCUUUUUUUCUGACUCGCUCG
RNAcentral lists this ribosomal RNA (1018 nucleotides) under Exserohilum rostratum. RNAcentral describes it as "SSU rRNA". It matches the Rfam family "Eukaryotic small subunit ribosomal RNA", at positions 55 to 1082 of the family's 1831-position model. The record is from RNAcentral. Lineage: Eukaryota; Fungi; Ascomycota; Dothideomycetes; Pleosporales; Pleosporaceae.